UCCUACGGGAGGCAGCAGUGGGGAAUUUUGCGCAAUGGGCUAACGCCUGACGCAGCAACGCCGCGUGGAGGAUGAAGGUCUUUGGAUUGUAAACUCCUGUCAGCAGGGAAAAAGGGAGCCGGCCUAAUACGCCGGUGACUUGAUUGUACCUGCAGAGGAAGCCCCGGCUAACUCUGUGCCAGCAGCCGCGGUAAUACAGAGGGGGCAAGCGUUAUUCGGAAUUAUUGGGCGUAAAGGGCGCGUAGGCGGCUUUUCAAGUGACGGGUGAAAUCCCUCGGCUUAACCGAGGAAUUGCCUGUCAGACUGGAAGACUUGAGACCGGGAGAGGUGAGUGGAAUUCCCAGUGUAGCGGUGAAAUGCGUAGAUAUUGGGAGGAACACCAGUGGCGAAGGCGGCUCACUGGACCGGAACUGACGCUGAGGCGCGAAAGCGUGGGGAGCAAACAGGAUUAGAUACCCUGGUAGUCCACGCCGUAAACGAUGAGUGCUUGGUGUAGCGGGUAUCGACCCCUGCUGUGCCGAAGUCAACACAUUAAGCACUCCGCCUGGGGAGUACGGUCGCAAGACUGAAACUCAAAGGAAUUGACGGA
Molecule: ribosomal RNA, 589 nt
Filed under: uncultured bacterium
Lineage: Bacteria
Description: bacterial SSU rRNA
Rfam family: Bacterial small subunit ribosomal RNA
Source: RNAcentral